This 466-nucleotide ribosomal RNA is filed under the name uncultured bacterium. RNAcentral's name for it is "partial 16S ribosomal RNA". It matches the Rfam family "Bacterial small subunit ribosomal RNA", at positions 28 to 507 of the family's 1533-position model. The record is from RNAcentral.
GAUGAACGCUGGCGGCGUGCUUAACACAUGCAAGUCGAACGGAAAGGCCCAAGCUUGCUUGGGUACUCGAGUGGCGAACGGGUGAGUAACACGUGGGUGAUCUGCCCUGCACUUCGGGAUAAGCCUGGGAAACUGGGGCUAAUACCGGAUAGGACCUCAUUUUGGAUGGUGUGGUGGAAAGAUUUUCGGUGUGGGGUGAGCUCGUGGCCUAUAAGCUUGUUGGUGGGGUAAUGGCCUAUCAAGGAGUCGGCGGGGAGUCGGCCUGGGGGGGGGUACGGCCACCUUGGGACCUGGAAUCCGGCCAAGCGCCUACGGGGAGGAGGAGGUGGGAAAAUUGGACAAAGGGGGGAAGCCGGGUGCAGCGACGCCGCGGGGGGGGUGACGGGCUUCGGGUUGGAAACUCGUUUCGCUAGGUACGGAGCGUUAUGUGACGGUACCUGGAGAAGAAGCACCGGCUAACUACGUG